AGACGACGACGACGACGACGACAACAACAACAACAACAACAACAACAACAACAACAACGACAACAACAACAACAACAACAGCAACAAUAACAACAACAAUAACUAAAACAAUAACAACAACAACAACAAAGACGACGACGAUGGAAACAACGGCGACAAGGUUGACAUCAAUUUCGAUGACGACGACGACUACCAAGACGACGAUGACAGCCACACAACAACAAUAGACACAACAACGACAACAACAACAACAACAACAACAACAACGACAUCAACGACAACAACAACAACAACAACAACAAGGACGACGACGACGACGACAACAACAACAAGAACAAUAAGAAGAACAACAACAACAACAAAAACAACAACGACAACAACAACGAUGAAAACGACGACGACAACAACAAAAAUAAAGAAGACGACGAUGCCGACG
Molecule: long non-coding RNA, 436 nt
Filed under: Hordeum vulgare
Lineage: Eukaryota; Viridiplantae; Streptophyta; Magnoliopsida; Poales; Poaceae
Description: long non-coding RNA (HVUL_LNC021575)
Source: RNAcentral